GCCUAGCCUUAACCCAACAAUCAAAUAACCCAUUGUUCGCCAAAUAACUACGAGUGAAAACUUAAAAUUUAAAAGACUUGACGGUACUUCACAACAACCUAGAGGAGCCUGUCUAACAACCGAUACCCCACGAUUAACCCCACCCCCCCUAGCCCAACAGUCUAUAUACCGCCGUCGCCAGCUUACCUUGUGAAAGAAACAAAGUGAGCCCAACAGCCCCCACUAAUACGACAGGUCGAGGUGUAACUAAUGAGGGGGUUAAGAUGGGCUACAUUUUCUAACACAGAAAACACGAAUAGACUAUGAAACUAGAAACUGAAGGCGGAUUUAGCAGUAAGUUAAGAACAAAAUGCUUAACCGAAACCAACGCAAUGAAGUGCGUACACACCGCCCGUCAUCCCUGUUAUAAACCCGUAUAGAAUUCAUAAACAUAUCGCCUUCCUUUAAAGCAGGGCAAGUCGUAACAUGGUAAGCGUACUGGAAAGUGCGCUUAGAAA
Molecule: ribosomal RNA, 497 nt
Filed under: Thermophis baileyi
Lineage: Eukaryota; Metazoa; Chordata; Lepidosauria; Squamata; Dipsadidae
Description: partial 12S ribosomal RNA
Rfam family: Bacterial small subunit ribosomal RNA
Source: RNAcentral